Molecule: long non-coding RNA, 777 nt
Organism: Cyprinodon tularosa
Lineage: Eukaryota; Metazoa; Chordata; Actinopteri; Cyprinodontiformes; Cyprinodontidae
Exons: 3
Source: RefSeq, a predicted model, not a curated record
GUUCAGCUGGGAGGAUCAGGUCAUCAGACGCAAUAGAUAUAUUAGACAUAAUGCAGUGAGUAAAGUUGACAAAUCUACAUGUUUUCAUGGGUGGUUCUAGAUGGGGGCCAAAAGGGUGCCAGUACCCCUGUAGGACCGGUCCUGGCCCCUUUUAUGCCCCCCUGUUCUGAAAACAUUUAUUGCAAAAUUUAAAAAAUAAGUCAGGUUUUCUUGAAAUAAGUGUAACCUUGAUUUGGGCAGAUGGUUCCCUGUGUUUGUUUGGGCCUCCUCGCACACCUGCGGCUCGUUGGGUCAUCAUCAGAUGAAUAUAUGAACAGGGGGCUGUUACUAUCUCAACGCCAGAGUGUUUGCCAGUAUUGGGAAGCCUUCCUGAUCCACUGGAUAAGCCUACCUUCUACCCCCCUGGAAGGAUAAACUGAGUCACAAUUGAGCAAGGGGAAAACUCCACAUAAUCAAGUCUUUUUCAGGAAAAUCCGGUGACAGUCCGCUCCUUUGCUCCUCUGGACCCAACGUUAGUCUGCCUGGACGCCCUCCCACGAGUUCUUUCAUCUCUGGAUAAGACCCCACAAACUGGAUCCAAAGAUUAACCAAGAGUUCCCCAAACGUGAGUGCCUCUCCUGCAAAUUACAAGCCUCAGUCAUUUUUUCUACGGUCCCUGAACUGAUCAUUGUGAUCUCCCCUUCAGAGUUUCCGGUUCCGGUUCACCAGGCCGCUGAGGUCCAACAAUGUUACCCAGCUGUAUAUCUCUCAGUCUGUGUUUUUUUGUAAACCACAAUA